AGGCUGGGUCGCCCUGCCGGCACCACCUCCAACCGGCGGCCAGGCCAGGCCAGCCUGCCACCACCUCCUGUGGUCGACCAGUGGCUAGGCCAGGCCGGGCCGCCGCCACCAUUGUUUCCUGUCCCCAUCGCUAUCCCCCAGGCAGCUGCUCUUGCGAGAGCUGCCACACAUGGAAUUAGCAACAGAUCUUUGUGCAACAGCUACACAUAUUUUCCAGCAUUCUGUUGUAUGAUGGCAAAAUAAGUAUGUCACAGGCAAGCAAUAAUAUAAUUCAAUUUAUUACCACUAAUGACUCAUUACCCAGGAGAGGCUACAUCUGGAGCAAUUUAUGAUGAGGCUUCUUUCUGGCAUUUUUGAACAACAGAUUCUUCUCUUAUGAACAUUUACAGAAUUUAUGGCCACUCAACCCAAACUAAUGGAGGG
This is a long non-coding RNA of Hemicordylus capensis (graceful crag lizard), 423 nucleotides long. RefSeq lists it as uncharacterized. NCBI's taxonomy places the organism in Eukaryota, Metazoa, Chordata, Lepidosauria, Squamata, Cordylidae. The record is from RefSeq and is a predicted model, not a curated record. The transcript is spliced from 3 exons.